RNAcentral lists this ribosomal RNA (465 nucleotides) under uncultured bacterium. Its description in RNAcentral is "partial 16S ribosomal RNA". It matches the Rfam family "Bacterial small subunit ribosomal RNA", at positions 338 to 795 of the family's 1533-position model. The record is from RNAcentral.
CCUACGGGGGGCUGCAGUAGGGAGUCUUCCACAAUGGGCGAAAGCCUGAUGGAGCAACGCCGCGUGGGUGAAGAAGGUCUUCGGAUCGUAAAACCCUGUUGUUAGAGAAGAAAGUGCGUGAGAGUAACUGUUCACGUUUCGACGGUAUCUAACCAGAAAGCCACGGCUAACUACGUGCCAGCAGCCGCGGUAAUACGUAGGUGGCAAGCGUUAUCCGGAUUUAUUGGGCGUAAAGGGAACGCAGGCGGUCUUUUAAGUCUGAUGUGAAAGCCUUCGGCUUAACCGGAGUAGUGCAUUGGAAACUGGGAGACUGGAGUGCAGAAGAGGAGAGUGGAACUCCAUGUGUAGCGGUGAAAUGCGUAGAUAUAUGGAAGAACACCAGUGGCGAAAGCGGCUCUCUGGUCUGUAACUGACGCUGAGGUUCGAAAGCGUGGGUAGCAAACAGGAUUAGAUACCCGAGUAGUC